AAAAGUAUUUAUUCGCUUAGUAUAAAUUCAAAUAAAAUAAAAUCAUAAUAUAUGAUAUUGCUUAUUGCAUAACUAAAGAAUUCAAAAAGCCAAUUAACCAAGUCAAAAAGCCACAUCUAUCAUAACUCUUUGCUUCUCCAAUUCUCAGAAAGCUACUUGUUAUUUGCAAAUAUUUGAUUCAAGCAACGAAUUUGAAGAGCUUUCUUGUUCCCUCAAUUGAUAUAUCUACAAAAAUGUCGUAUUAAAUUGCCUUAUUCACAGCAUCAUAAUAACUAAAAAAAGCAUUAUGCAUUCAUAUUAAUUACCAAAUUACAAUUGCAUAAAUUCACGGAGAAAAAAAUUAAAAAAAAUAUGAUAUUAAUUUGUCUUUUGAAGCAAAAGUUAUCAUUAACACAAACAAAAACGUUGCAACAGAGCAUAAGAUAAUAAAACGAAAGAAAAUAAAUGAAUCAAACAUUUUAUUGAGUAAAAGAAUACUCACGCUUCUUAAUUGUCUUGGUCUCUUGCCCAGUCUCUAUAUGGAUAUGACCAACAUGAAAACUGAAAUGACAGUAAAUUCAGCCGAAGAGAACUUGAUCCUUGAGGCCCUCUCCAAGUUGGAUUCUGCUUUGGGCCUAGUCAGGCCUAAAUCGUUUUAAGUUUUCAGCCUGUUUCAUUUGGGCCACGUCGAGGCCUAAUUCAAAAUUAUUUUAACCAUAUUUACAUAUUCAAAGGCCUCCCAAUGACAAUAUUUACCUCUUGUUAACUCAAUAAAACUAUUCCCCCAAUCUUUCAAUUUUCUUUUUCAUUUUAAUCGCCAUAUUGACGGGAAUUUU
Molecule: long non-coding RNA, 815 nt
Filed under: Citrus x clementina
Lineage: Eukaryota; Viridiplantae; Streptophyta; Magnoliopsida; Sapindales; Rutaceae
Description: Citrus clementina (C. clementina) long non-coding RNA (CCLE_LNC003347)
Source: RNAcentral